This 46-nucleotide non-coding RNA is filed under the name Schistosoma margrebowiei. The record is from RNAcentral. Lineage: Eukaryota; Metazoa; Platyhelminthes; Trematoda; Strigeidida; Schistosomatidae.
GCACUACUGAGGAGUCCCGCAACAGGACGAAACGGCCGUCCAGUGC